UCAAGGCUUCCCCGCACACUGUACGUGUACUGUGUGUGUGUAAUAAAACACUUUUUGAACACCUCCGAGGACUCUGUCUGCGCUCCCUGCGGAGGGAGAUGGAGCCUGAUGUUUUGCAGUGUCUAUUUUCACCAUUUAUAGGUGUUUUAAUAAAAUAUUUUGUGUUGACCCACUAUGGACUUUCAGUCGUAGGUCUCUUCCUCAAAAUUCGAACCGCGACACUUUGUAUAAUCGGAGUGAAGUUUGAUGAGCAUCUUGACUUUUGGUCUUGGGAUAUUAACAGUCCUGGAGGGGAGGUCACAACAGGAGUUCCCUGAGUUGACACGUAUGAAGCAUAAAGUCAGUUUGGAGCAGUUGGUAAACACAGAAGUACAUCCAAUCUUGACUAAAUUUCUUGUUUAUCUACUUCAUGCACAUUGCAUGCACAAGAAUCCAAAUCUCUGUAUCACAAUGAUUUCAUUAAAGCCUUAUUAUUUUAUGGGGGCAAUAUCACAUAUUACCGUAGAUCAUUAAUAGGGAACAAAAAAGAAGGAUCACAUCGGCAAUGUUGCUGGGAGACAGAAGUCUUGACACGUACUUAUAACUUAAACCACAAAAAACUCAGUUACAGCUGGUAAGAUUUGUGGUAUAAACCAGACUAUCACAGUCUGCAUCUUUACAGGGUUGUUUUCUGCUUUUGUUCACUCCUAGUGUGAUUAAAAAACAACAAACACAGAGCCCACUAACUAUUAGCCGCGUUCCCCCCUAAACAGUCAGUUGACUGAGAGAAAUGCAAUCCAUUAUUGUGAACGCUGAAGGAGAUGUGCUCCAAGGUCAAACUUAUAUUUCCUUAACUUACAUCCUAUGUUCUGUUUAAUUCCGGCAUCCCUUCAUGGCUUGAUGGAAAAAAUUGGUUAAACCAUUGCUCAACUUAUGUCUGAAUGAUGGCAGAUAAUUCUGAUGAAACUGACCCCGUAAGAACUUUGCAGCUGAGUCGAAGGCUCGUGGAAAUAAGGUCAGGAAGUGUCCGGCGUGACUGCGCGUGCGGGCGUCUGACAGACACACUAGUGCAACUCAGAGUGUGAGCAGCAACUCCUGUAUACUAAACAUAAGAAAAGUAAUUUGUAGUGCUUCUCUUUUUUUAAACCGAGAUUCCAGGGAUCAUGCUUAUAUGGUUUUCUUUUAUUCAAAAACAGGUUAGUUUAGCGAUCGUGUAACUGUGUCCUUGACCUUUUUACCGGCUUGAGAAGUUGGUUCCCUGGUGCAGAUAUCUGGGAUGGUUCAAACGCCGAGUCUCCAAAUGCAAACAAAAGGACCAACACGGACACCAGUUUAGACUGAAAUCCAGUUCCGAUGGCACACGCAACAUGUUCAAGCUUGCACGGAGGCAUCUUUCUUUCAGCUUAACGAGUGAACCGUCAGCUCGUUCAAACACACGUUAAAGUCCGUUUGGCUCGACA
This is a non-coding RNA of Maylandia zebra (zebra mbuna), 1439 nucleotides long. The record is from RefSeq and is a predicted model, not a curated record. Lineage: Eukaryota; Metazoa; Chordata; Actinopteri; Cichliformes; Cichlidae.